GUCUUCAGCUCCUGAGCCAUAAAACAUUCCACUUGAGAUUCAGAGUUCAGACUACAGAAAACAAGUGCAGCAGAGACACUUCUAUCAUGUCAAGCCAAGCAACAGAGGGCCGUGGAUCAGAUUCCCACAGCAAGCUAGACCGGUUCACAGAAUGGCUGCUGCAGAAGCUCAGUUACAUCAGCGUGACAACCGGCCAUGACGAGUACAUGAAAGAGAUUGGAGAGAGGCAGCAGAGGAAUGGGGAUUUGAACUGCGAGAGAUUAGUGCAACGUGCACCAGCCACGGCAGACACUUAAAAGAAUAUUAUUCUUUCCUACAGCUUAUACUGUAGUGUAUGUAGUAUAUUUUUGCUACUCUGUAUAGUGUUUCUCAUGCUUGGCCUCCUAUAACAAAAGAAAAUUAGAAAGUGGGGAGUGAUUGGGGAGAUGGGGGCGGGCUGGACAAGUGAUUUAGAAAGUAAUCCGAGCCGAACUGAAAAAAAAUAUUUCAAACUGACUGAGCCAAACCUGGAAAGCUGCACAAAACAGGAAGGGAAGGAAAAGAACAGACAAAAUAAAUAAGAAACAAUUGGGGAAAGAGAAACAGGGGACACAGGCUGUGGGGGAUGAGGACAGUGUUCAUGAAGCGGGACACAUAGGCAGUAAUUUUAAAGCAGAAAGAAGCUAAUGGAGGCAAUUCUCAUUUUCCUUUGCCUUCCCAAUUAUAAAUAGUCAUUGAGAAGAAACAGCCCCAGGAUCCAUUUUUCAUAAGUUUUCAUGGCAAAAAAUGUAACUAGACAGAGCAGGCAGUGGUAGGUGUGGCUACUGUUGCUUGAGACGUCUCACUCUGAGACCCAGUUAAAAACUGUACCGUGAUGCACAGAAACAAGGGGCGGGCAAUUAAAGCUGUGAGGCAAGCUGAAGUCUGCCAUUUCCUCACGUUUGUUGCUUGACGUGGAGCCGAUUGGCUUUGUGAAUGUAACGUGGGACGUAUGCUAAAUCAGUGCAAUGAAUCACAUAAAUAUUCUAAACUGGAGGAAGCUCCAGCCUCCUGCUCUGGGAAGCAAUUUAACAGCGGUCUCAGGAGAGGCACCCCGCUGGCCAUGGCGGGCACUAGUGGUCACCUACUACAGGACAGGCCUAACAAAGAAAAUAACAGAACGCCACUAGCUGUCACCUUCAGUCCCCCACUAAAACCCCUCCAACGCAUUAUUAAGGAUCUACAACCUAUCCUGAAGGAUGACCCAACACUCUCACAAAUCUUGGGAGACAGGCCAGUCCUUGCCUACAGACAGGCCCCCAACCUGAAGCGAAUACUCACCAGCAACCACAUACCACACAACAGAACCACUAACCCAGGAACCUAUCCUUGCAACAAAGCCCGUUGCCAACCGUGUCCACAUAUCUAUUCAGGGGACACCAUCACAGGGCCUAAUAACAUCAGCCACACUAUCAGAGGCUCGUUCACCUGCACAUCUACCAAUGUGAUAUAUGCCGUCAUGUGCCAGCAAUGCCCCUCUGCCAUGUACAUUGGUCAAACUGGACAGUCUCUACGUAGAAGAAUAAAUGAACACAAAUCAGAUGUCAAGAAUUAUAACAUUCAUAAACCAGUCGGAGAACACCUCAAUCUCUCUGGUCACGCGAUUACAGACAUGAAAGUUGCGAUAUUACAACAGAAAAACUUCAAAACCAGACUCCAGCGAGAGACUGUUGAAUUGGAAUUCAUUUACAAAUUGGAUACAAUAGAGACUGGGAGUGGCUAAGUCAUUAUGCAAGGUAACCUAUUUCCCCUUCUUUUUUCCUACCCCCCCCCCCUUCCUCAGACGUUCUUGUUAAAUCCUGGAUUUGUGCUGGAAAUGGGCCACCUUGAUUAUCAUACACAUUGUAAGGAGAGUGGUCACUUUAGAUAAGCUAUUACCAGCAGGAGAGUGGGGUGCGGGGAGAGAAAACCUUUUGUAGUGGUAAGCACCCAUUUUUUCAUGUUUUGUAUGUAUAAGAACAUCUUCUGUAUUUUCCACAGUAUGCAUCCGAUGAAGUGAGCUGUAGCUCAAGAAAGCUUAUGCUCAAAUAAAUUGGUUAGUCUCUAAGGUGCCACAAGUACUCCUUUUCUUUUUGCGAAUACAGACUAACACGGCUGUUACUC
Caretta caretta (loggerhead turtle) is the source of this 2121-nucleotide long non-coding RNA. RefSeq lists it as uncharacterized. NCBI's taxonomy places the organism in Eukaryota, Metazoa, Chordata, Testudines, Cheloniidae. The record is from RefSeq and is a predicted model, not a curated record.